Molecule: ribosomal RNA, 253 nt
Filed under: uncultured bacterium
Lineage: Bacteria
Description: partial 16S ribosomal RNA
Rfam family: Bacterial small subunit ribosomal RNA
Source: RNAcentral
UACAGAGGGGGCAAGCGUUGUUCGGAAUUACUGGGCGUAAAGUGUGCGCAGGCGGCCGAGCAAGUCGAGUGUGAAAUCCCCGGGCUUAACUUGGGAAUUGCGCUCGAAACUACUUGGCUUGAGUGUGGCAGAGGAAGGUGGAAUUCCACGUGUAGCGGUGAAAUGCGUAGAGAUGUGGAGGAACACCGAUGGCGAAGGCAGCCUUCUGGGCCAACACUGACGCUCAUGCACGAAAGCGUGGGGAGCAAACAGG